GUGGCACAACAGUUGAGCACUCGGUUGCUAACCGAGAGGAUGGUGGUUUCAACCCACCC
Molecule: transfer RNA, 59 nt
Filed under: Loxodonta africana (African savanna elephant)
Lineage: Eukaryota; Metazoa; Chordata; Mammalia; Proboscidea; Elephantidae
Rfam family: tRNA
About the family: Transfer RNA (tRNA) molecules are approximately 80 nucleotides in length.
Source: Rfam by way of RNAcentral